Long non-coding RNA from Zonotrichia albicollis (white-throated sparrow), 2456 nucleotides. The record is from Ensembl. Lineage: Eukaryota; Metazoa; Chordata; Aves; Passeriformes; Passerellidae.
CCAAAUCCUUCACCCCAAAUUCCAAAUCCUACACCCACAAAAUCCAAACCCUUCACCCCAAAAUCCAAAUCCUUCGCCCCAAAAUCCAAAUCCUUCGCCCCAAAAUUCAUCCCAAAAUCCAAAUUCUUCAUCCCAAAUUUCAAAUUCUUCACCCCAAAUUCCAAAUCCUUCUCCCCAAAAUUCAUCCGAAAACCCAAACCCUUCACCCCAAAAUCCAAAUCCUUCACCCCAAAUUCCAAAUUCUUCAUCCCAAAAUCCUUCAUCCCAAAGUUCCCAAAUACUUCCAAAUCCUUCAUCCCAGAAAACAAAUGUAUCACCCCAAAAUCCUUCACCCCAAAAUCCAAAUCCUUCGCCCCAAAAUCCUUCACCCCAGAAUCCAAAUCCUUCACGCCAAAAUUCAUCCCAAAAUCCAAAUUCUUCAUCCCAAAUUUCAAAUUCUUCACCCCAAAAUCCAAAUCCUUAAUCCCAAAUUCAUCCCAAAUCUCCCAAAUCCUUCAUCCCAAAAUUCCAAACCCUUCAUCCCAAAUUUCAUCCCAAAGCCCAAAUCAUUCACCCCAAAAUCCAAACCCUUCAUCCCAAAAUCCAAAUCCCAAAAUCCAAACCCUUCACCCCAAAAUCCAAACCCUUCAUACCAAAAUCCAAAUCCCAAAAUCCAAACCCUUCACCCCAAAAUCCAAACCCUUCAUCCCAAAAUCCAAAUCCUUCACCCCAAAGUUCCCAAAUGCUUCCAAAUCCUUCAUCCCAGAAAACAAAUACAUCACCCCAAAAUCCAAAUCCUUCAUCCCAAAUCUCCCAAAUCUUUCACCCCAAAAUCCAAACCCUUCAUCCCAAAAUCCAAAUCCCAAAAUCCAAACCCUUCACCCCAAAAUUCCCAAAUCCUUCACCCCAAAUUCCAAAUCCUUCACCCCAAAAUUCAUCCCAAAAUCCAAAUCAUUCAUCCAAAAUUCACCCCAAAAUCCAAAACCUUCAUCCCAAAAUUCACCCCAAAAUCCAAAUCCUUCACCCCAAAAUCCAAAUUCUUCACCCCAAAAUCCAAAACCUUCACCCCAAAAUCCAAAUCCUUCGCCCCAAAAUUCACCCCAAAAUCCAAACCCUUCACCCCAAAUUCCAAACCCUGCACCCCAAAAUCCAAAUCCUUCGCCCCAAAAUUCAUCCCAAAAUUCCAAAUCCUUCACCCCAAAAUCCAAACCCUUCGCCCCAAAAUCCAAAUCCUGCACCCACAAAAUUCAUCCCAAAAUCCAAACCCUUCACCCCAAAUUCCAAAUUCUUCAUCCCAAAAUCCUUCAUCCCAAAGUUCCCAAAUACUUCCAAAUCCUUCAUCCCAGAAAACAAAUGCAUCACCCCAAAAUCCAAAUCCCAAAAUCCAAACCCUUCACCCCAAAAUUCAUCCCAAAAUUCCAAAACCUUCACCCCAAACUCCAAAACCUUCACCCCAAAAUUCAUCCCAAAAUCCAAAUCAUUCAUCCCAAAAUUCAUCCCAAAAACCAAAUCCUUCACCCCAAAUUCCAAAUCCUGCACCCCAAAAUCCAAACCCUUCACCCCAAAUUCCAAAUCCUUCGCCCCAAAAUCCAAAUCCUUCACCCCAAAAUUCAUCCCAAAAACCAAAUCCUUCACCUCAAAUUCCAGAUCCGUCACCCCAAACUCAAAAUCCUGCAUGCCAAAGCCCAAAUCCUUCGCCCCAAAGUCCAAAUCCUUCACCCCAAAAUUCAUCCCAAAAUCCAAAACCUUCAUCCCAAAUUCCAAACCCUUCACCCCAAAAUCCAAAUCCUUCACCCCAAAGUUCCCAAAUGCUUCCAAAUCCUUCAUCCCAGAAAACAAGUCCUUCGCCCCAAAAUCCUUCACCCCAAAAUCCAAAUUCUCAUCAAAAAAUCCAAAUCCUUCACCCCAAAAUCCAAACCCUUCAUCCCAAAAUCCUUCACCCCAAAAUUCAAAUCCUUCACCCCAGAAUCCAAAUCCUUCACGCCAAAAUUCAUCCCAAAAUCCAAACCCUUCACCCCAAAAUUCAUCCAAAAACCCAAAUCAUUCAAUCCCAAAAUUCAUCCCAAAAUCCAAAUCCUUCACCCCAAAAAUCCAAAUCCUUCAUCCCAAAUUCCAAAUCCUUCUCCCCAAAAUUCAUCCAAAAACCCAAAUCCUUCACCCCAAAACCCAAACCCUUCAUCCCAAAGUUCCCAAAUCAUUCACCCCAAAAUUGAAAUCCUGCAUCUCAAAAUCCAAGCCCUUCACCCCAAAAUUCACCCCAAAAUCCAAACCCUUCACCCCAAAUUCCAAAUCCCAAAAUCCAAACCCUUCACCCCAAAAUUCCACCCCAUCCCAUUUUUUCCCUUUAUUUUGGUGCUUCCCCACCCAGUUUUUAUAUUUUUCCCCCACCCCAAUGUUUUGUGUUUUAUUUUAUAUUUUGUGUUUUAUUUCAUAUUUUGCAUUUUAUUUUAUAUUUUUUAUCCCACUCCAAUGUUUUG